This 73-nucleotide transfer RNA is filed under the name Streptomyces phage Annadreamy. Its description in RNAcentral is "tRNA-Val". It matches the Rfam family "tRNA". From Rfam's summary of the family: Transfer RNA (tRNA) molecules are approximately 80 nucleotides in length. Their secondary structure includes four short double-helical elements and three loops (D, anti-codon, and T loops). Lineage: Duplodnaviria; Heunggongvirae; Uroviricota; Caudoviricetes; Stanwilliamsviridae. The record is from RNAcentral. RNAcentral also lists the same sequence under 3 other names.
GCGGGGUUAGCUCAGUGGGAGAGCGUCUGCCUUACAAGCAGAGGGCCGGGGGUUCGAAUCCCUCACUCCGUAC